GACGUAGGGCGCAAGCGUUGUCCGGAAUUAUUGGGCGUAAAGAGCUCGUAGGCGGUCUGUUACGUCUGCUGUGAAAACCCAGGGCUUAACCCUGGGCUUGCAGUGGAUACGGGCAGACUAGAGGCAGGUAGGGGAGAAUGGAAUUCCCGGUGUAGCGGUGAAAUGCGCAGAUAUCGGGAGGAACACCGGUGGCGAAGGCGGUUCUCUGGGCCUGACCUGACGCUGAGGAGCGAAAGCGUGGGGAGCGAACAGG
This 253-nucleotide ribosomal RNA is filed under the name uncultured bacterium. RNAcentral describes it as "partial 16S ribosomal RNA". It matches the Rfam family "Bacterial small subunit ribosomal RNA", at positions 524 to 776 of the family's 1533-position model. The record is from RNAcentral.